RNAcentral lists this ribosomal RNA (433 nucleotides) under uncultured bacterium. RNAcentral's name for it is "partial 16S ribosomal RNA". It matches the Rfam family "Bacterial small subunit ribosomal RNA", at positions 29 to 507 of the family's 1533-position model. The record is from RNAcentral.
AACGAACGCUGGCGGCAUGCCUAACACAUGCAAGUCGAACGAGACCUUCCGGUCUAGUGGCGCACGGGUGCGUAACGCGUGGGAACCCGCCGUUAGGUUCGGAAUAACUCCCCGAAAGGCAUGGUAAUAUCGGAUAAUGUCUCCGGACAAAAGAUUUAUCACCCUUGGAUGGGCCCGCGUUGGCUUAGCUUGUUGGUAGGGUAAAAGCCUACCAAGGCGACGAUCGAUAGCUGGUCUGAGAGGAUGAUCAGCCACACUGGGACUGAGACACGGCCCAGACUCCUACGGGAGGCAGCAGUGGGGAAUAUUGGACAAUGGGCGAAAGCCUGAUCCAGCAAUGCCGCGUGAGUGAUGAAGUCCUUAGGGUUGUAAAGCUCGUUUACCCGGGAUGAUAAUGACAGUACCGGGAGAAUAAGCUCCGGCUAACUCCGUG